RNAcentral lists this ribosomal RNA (447 nucleotides) under uncultured Leptolinea sp. RNAcentral's name for it is "bacterial SSU rRNA". It matches the Rfam family "Bacterial small subunit ribosomal RNA", at positions 920 to 1382 of the family's 1533-position model. Lineage: Bacteria; Bacillati; Chloroflexota; Anaerolineae; Anaerolineales; Anaerolineaceae. The record is from RNAcentral.
CCCGCACAAGCAGCGGAGCGUGUGGUUUAAUUCGAUGUUACACGAAGAACCUUACCAGGGUUUGACAUGCAAGUGGUAGGAAGCCGAAAGGUGACCGACCUUCGGGAGCUUGCACAGGUGCUGCAUGGCUGUCGUCAGCUCGUGUCGUGAGAUGUUCGGUUAAGUCCGCUAACGAGCGCAACCCUCGCUGUGUGUUAUAUGUGUCACACGGGACUGCCGGUCUUAAGCCGGAGGAAGGUGGGGAUGAUGUCAAGUCAGCAUGGCCUUUAUAUCCUGGGCUACACACACGCUACAAUGACCAACACAAUAGGUUGCUAAGCCGCGAGGUGGCGCCAAUCCAUAAAGUUGGUCUCAGUUCAGAUUGUAGGCUGCAACCCGCCUGCAUGAAGAUGGAGUUGCUAGUAACCGCAGGUCAGCUAUACUGCGGUGAAUACGUUCCCGGGGCUU